Molecule: ribosomal RNA, 1901 nt
Filed under: Escherichia coli
Lineage: Bacteria; Pseudomonadati; Pseudomonadota; Gammaproteobacteria; Enterobacterales; Enterobacteriaceae
Description: partial 23S ribosomal RNA
Rfam family: Bacterial large subunit ribosomal RNA
Source: RNAcentral
CAGCUAAGGUCCCAAAGUCAUGGUUAAGUGGGAAACGAUGUGGGAAGGCCCAGACAGCCAGGAUGUUGGCUUAGAAGCAGCCAUCAUUUAAAGAAAGCGUAAUAGCUCACUGGUCGAGUCGGCCUGCGCGGAAGAUGUAACGGGGCUAAACCAUGCACCGAAGCUGCGGCAGCGACGCUUAUGCGUUGUUGGGUAGGGGAGCGUUCUGUAAGCCUGUGAAGGUGUGCUGUGAGGCAUGCUGGAGGUAUCAGAAGUGCGAAUGCUGACAUAAGUAACGAUAAAGCGGGUGAAAAGCCCGCUCGCCGGAAGACCAAGGGUUCCUGUCCAACGUUAAUCGGGGCAGGGUGAGUCGACCCCUAAGGCGAGGCCGAAAGGCGUAGUCGAUGGGAAACAGGUUAAUAUUCCUGUACUUGGUGUUACUGCGAAGGGGGGACGGAGAAGGCUAUGUUGGCCGGGCGACGGUUGUCCCGGUUUAAGCGUGUAGGCUGGUUUUCCAGGCAAAUCCGGAAAAUCAAGGCUGAGGCGUGAUGACGAGGCACUACGGUGCUGAAGCAACAAAUGCCCUGCUUCCAGGAAAAGCCUCUAAGCAUCAGGUAACAUCAAAUCGUACCCCAAACCGACACAGGUGGUCAGGUAGAGAAUACCAAGGCGCUUGAGAGAACUCGGGUGAAGGAACUAGGCAAAAUGGUGCCGUAACUUCGGGAGAAGGCACGCUGAUAUGUAGGUGAAGUCCCUCGCGGAUGGAGCUGAAAUCAGUCGAAGAUACCAGCUGGCUGCAACUGUUUAUUAAAAACACAGCACUGUGCAAACACGAAAGUGGACGUAUACGGUGUGACGCCUGCCCGGUGCCGGAAGGUUAAUUGAUGGGGUCAGCGCAAGCGAAGCUCUUGAUCGAAGCCCCGGUAAACGGCGGCCGUAACUAUAACGGUCCUAAGGUAGCGAAAUUCCUUGUCGGGUAAGUUCCGACCUGCACGAAUGGCGUAAUGAUGGCCAGGCUGUCUCCACCCGAGACUCAGUGAAAUUGAACUCGCUGUGAAGAUGCAGUGUACCCGCGGCAAGACGGAAAGACCCCGUGAACCUUUACUAUAGCUUGACACUGAACAUUGAGCCUUGAUGUGUAGGAUAGGUGGGAGGCUUAGAAGUGUGGACGCCAGUCUGCAUGGAGCCGACCUUGAAAUACCACCCUUUAAUGUUUGAUGUUCUAACGUUGACCCGUAAUCCGGGUUGCGGACAGUGUCUGGUGGGUAGUUUGACUGGGGCGGUCUCCUCCUAAAGAGUAACGGAGGAGCACGAAGGUUGGCUAAUCCUGGUCGGACAUCAGGAGGUUAGUGCAAUGGCAUAAGCCAGCUUGACUGCGAGCGUGACGGCGCGAGCAGGUGCGAAAGCAGGUCAUAGUGAUCCGGUGGUUCUGAAUGGAAGGGCCAUCGCUCAACGGAUAAAAGGUACUCCGGGGAUAACAGGCUGAUACCGCCCAAGAGUUCAUAUCGACGGCGGUGUUUGGCACCUCGAUGUCGGCUCAUCACAUCCUGGGGCUGAAGUAGGUCCCAAGGGUAUGGCUGUUCGCCAUUUAAAGUGGUACGCGAGCUGGGUUUAGAACGUCGUGAGACAGUUCGGUCCCUAUCUGCCGUGGGCGCUGGAGAACUGAGGGGGGCUGCUCCUAGUACGAGAGGACCGGAGUGGACGCAUCACUGGUGUUCGGGUUGUCAUGCCAAUGGCACUGCCCGGUAGCUAAAUGCGGAAGAGAUAAGUGCUGAAAGCAUCUAAGCACGAAACUUGCCCCGAGAUGAGUUCUCCCUGACUCCUUGAGAGUCCUGAAGGAACGUUGAAGACGACGACGUUGAUAGGCCGGGUGUGUAAGCGCAGCGAUGCGUUGAGCUAACCGGUACUAAUGAACCGUGAGG